This 261-nucleotide ribosomal RNA is filed under the name uncultured bacterium. Its description in RNAcentral is "partial 16S ribosomal RNA". It matches the Rfam family "Bacterial small subunit ribosomal RNA", at positions 1240 to 1500 of the family's 1533-position model. The record is from RNAcentral.
CAAAGAGCAGCGAGCCUGCGAAGGUAAGCGAAUCUCAAAAAAGUAGUCUCAGUUCGGACUGUGGGCUGCAACCCGCCCACACGAAGUCGGAGUUGCUAGUAAUCCCGAAUCAGCAUGUCGGGGUGAAUGCGUUCCCGGGUCUUGUACACACCGCCCGUCACGCCAUGGGAGUUAGGAGUACCCGAAGCCAAUGACCUAACCGCAAGGAAGGAGUUGUCGAAGGUAAGACUGAUGACUGGGGUGAAGUCGUAACAAGGUAAC